GCUGGGUGCAGUGGCGCAUGUCUGUAACCCCAGCAGCUGAGGAGGCUGAGGCAGGAGGAUCACGAGUUCAAAGCCAGCCUCAGCAACAGGGAGGCACUAAGCAAUUCAGUGAGACCCUGUCUCUA
RNAcentral lists this small RNA (125 nucleotides) under Marmota monax (woodchuck). The record is from RNAcentral. Lineage: Eukaryota; Metazoa; Chordata; Mammalia; Rodentia; Sciuridae.